Molecule: long non-coding RNA, 1288 nt
Organism: Notolabrus celidotus (New Zealand spotty)
Lineage: Eukaryota; Metazoa; Chordata; Actinopteri; Labriformes; Labridae
Exons: 3
Source: RefSeq, a predicted model, not a curated record
CAGCUUUAGCCACAAACUGGCAUGCUAGCAGCCUUUAAGAUACUCCACAUUAGAUUAUUUCUCUGGAUAAAUUAUAUUAAAAGUGGUAUUUUCAUCCCUACUGACUUUUUAAUGCUACUGUUUUUUUAGGGUAGAGGACUAUAACAGGCUCAGGUGGACUACAACAGGCUCAGGUGGACUAUAACAGGCUCAGGUGGACUACAACAGACUCAUGUGGACUAUAACAGGCUCAGGUGGACUACAACAGGCUCAGGUGGACUAUAACAAGCUCAGGUGGACUACAACAGUCUCAGGUGGACUACAACAGACUCAUGUGGACUACAACAGGCUCAGGUGGACUACAACAGGCUCAGGUGGACUACAACAGGUUCAGGUGGACUACAACAGGCUCGGGUGGACUACAACAGGCUCAGGUGGACUACAACAGGCUCAGGUGGACUAUAACAGGCUCAGGUGGACUACAACAGGCUCAGGUGGACUAUAACAGGCUCAGGUGGACUACAAAAAGCUCAGGUGGACUACAACAGGCUCAGGUGGACUACAAUAGGCUCAGGUGGAAAGCCCUCACAGGGUUCGACUGCAACCGUGAUGGAUUUCCUAAAGUUGGACUCCACCUCGGCCCUGGAUGCUAAUGGUUCCUCCAGCUGUGGGCUUACACUGGAUAAGAGUGAAACGAAGAAUUCAGCUUAUCUAAAACGUCUCCAGUAAUCUGUACGAAUAAGCUCAGCGUGAACUCCAGUCACCAAGAAAGACUGACGGCAGAUCUCAAUAAAGAUAAGUAAUGGGUUUCUCUCAGGGACAAAGACUUUUCGGAGUACAGGUAAACAGGCUGAAAGAUUGAGGGGAAUGAAUACAGGCACUAAUUUCACCUCUGUGUGCACCUGGGAAGAGGAUCCUUUAUCUGUCCCUCUUAGUUCAGAAUGCUCCAGAGUCGCGUCUCUGAUACUGAUUCCUCAUAUGACUCCUCAGUAAUCUCUGUGGAUUAUGGCGUCAUGACUCAGACUCAGACAGGCUGUCUGCUUCUGCUGGAGGGAGAAGGAACAGGCAGAGACUCAAAACAGUGUUUCAGAUGGUGAUACACACACAGACACACACACACACACACACACACACACACACACACACACACACACACACACAAACAAGCAGGCUCUUCAGUGCAUUUUGCAGAUGGAGCCCUGGAUAGAGAGUUUUUCAUUCCUAACUGUGGUGUAAAUAGUGACGAUGUUAAUAAUGCAUCUUGUUUUGUUUGUAAAUUUAAAGCAGUUUUAAAUGAUAUUUUUGAGCA